GAUGAACGCUGGCGGCGUGCUUAACACAUGCAAGUCGAGCGAGAAGUUUUGAAAAGAUUCUUCGGAUGAAAUUUAAAAUGGAAAGCGGCGGACGGGUGAGUAACGCGUAGGCAACCUGCCCCAUACAAAGGGAUAGCAUUUGGAAACGAAUAUUAAUACCUUAUGAAACUUAACUAGUGCAUGCUAGGUAGGUCAAAGAUUUAUCGGUAUGGGAUGGGCCUGCGUCUGAUUAGCUAGUUGGUGAGGUAACGGCUAACCAAGGCGACGAUCAGUAGCCGACCUGGGAGGGUGAACGGACACAUGGGAACUGAGACACGGUCCAAACUCCUACGGGAGGCAGCAGUGGGGAAUAUUGAACAAUGGGGGAAACCCUGAUGCAGCAACGCCGCGUGAACGAUGAAGGCCUUUGGGUCGUAAAGUUCUGUUCUAGGUGAUGAAAACUGACAGUAACCUAGGAGAAAGCCCCGGCUAACUCCGUG
RNAcentral lists this ribosomal RNA (479 nucleotides) under uncultured bacterium. RNAcentral's name for it is "partial 16S ribosomal RNA". It matches the Rfam family "Bacterial small subunit ribosomal RNA", at positions 28 to 507 of the family's 1533-position model. The record is from RNAcentral.